UACGUAGGUGGCGAGCGUUAUCCGGAAUGAUUGGGCGUAAAGGGUGCGUAGGCGGCCUGCUAAGUCUGGAGUGAAAGGUACCGGCUCAACCGGUACAGGCUCUGGAAACUGGCGGGCUAGAGAGCAGGAGAGGGCGGUGGAACUCCAUGUGUAGCGGUAAAAUGCGUAGAUAUAUGGAAGAACACCAGUGGCGAAGGCAGGUCUCUGGGCCGUUACUGACGCUGAGGCACGAAAGCGUGGGGAGCAAAUAGG
This 252-nucleotide ribosomal RNA is filed under the name uncultured bacterium. RNAcentral describes it as "partial 16S ribosomal RNA". It matches the Rfam family "Bacterial small subunit ribosomal RNA", at positions 524 to 776 of the family's 1533-position model. The record is from RNAcentral.